UGGGGAAUCUUGGACAAUGGGCGCAAGCCUGAUCCAGCCAUGCCGCGUGGAUGAUGAAGGCCCUAGGGUUGUAAAGUCCUUUCGACGGGGAAGAUAAUGACGGUACCCGUAGAAGAAGCCCCGGCUAACUUCGUGCCAGCAGCCGCGGUAAUACGAAGGGGGCUAGCGUUGCUCGGAAUCACUGGGCGUAAAGCGCACGUAGGCGGACUCUUAAGUCGGUGGUGAAAUCCUGGAGCUCAACUCCAGAACUGCCUUCGAUACUGAGAGUCUCGAGUCCGAGAGAGGUGAGUGGAACUGCGAGUGUAGAGGUGAAAUUCGUAGAUAUUCGCAAGAACACCAGUGGCGAAGGCGGCUCACUGGCUCGGUACUGACGCUGAGGUGCGAAAGCGUGGGGAGCAAACAGGAUUAGAUACCCACGUAGUCCCUGAGCGGGCUGGCAAGGCGCAU
RNAcentral lists this ribosomal RNA (447 nucleotides) under uncultured bacterium. Its description in RNAcentral is "bacterial SSU rRNA". It matches the Rfam family "Bacterial small subunit ribosomal RNA", at positions 355 to 825 of the family's 1533-position model. The record is from RNAcentral.